This 487-nucleotide ribosomal RNA is filed under the name uncultured bacterium. RNAcentral describes it as "bacterial SSU rRNA". It matches the Rfam family "Bacterial small subunit ribosomal RNA", at positions 19 to 518 of the family's 1533-position model. The record is from RNAcentral.
CUGGCUCAGGACGAACGCUGGCGGCGUGCUUCAUACAUGCAAGUCGAACGAGAAGCUGACUUCGGUCAGUGGAAAGUGGCGGACGGGUGAGUAAUAUGUAGAGAAUCUGCCCUUGAGUGGGGGACAACAGAGGGAAACUUCUGCUAAUACCCCAUAUGAGCUAACUUGAAAUAGUUAUCUUGAAAACUCCGGUGCUCAAGGAUGAGUCUGCAUCUGAUUAGCUAGUUGGCGGUGUAAUGGACCACCAAGGCGACGAUCAGUAGCUGGUUUGAGAGGAUGAUCAGCCACAAGUGGGACUGAGACACGGCCCAUACUCCGUACGGGAGGCAGCAGGUAAGGGUAAUUUUGCGCAAGUGGGACGAAAGCCCUGACGCAGCAACGCCGCGUGAACGAUUAACGCCCUUCGGGGUGUAAAGUUCUGUCAGUAGGGACGAAUUUUGACGGUACCUACAGAGGAAGCACCGGCUAACUCCGUGCCAGCCGCAGC